This is a non-coding RNA of Vicugna pacos (alpaca), 855 nucleotides long. The record is from RefSeq and is a predicted model, not a curated record. Lineage: Eukaryota; Metazoa; Chordata; Mammalia; Artiodactyla; Camelidae.
AGGAACUUGCCCAAAGCUGCACCGUUCUAAACUGGGAGACAAGACUCGAGCUCUUGUCUGUCUUCCAUCUGAGUCCACGUGGUCAUGUUCUUGGCAGAACUUUCUCCCUGUCCCCAUGGCACAUUCCUGUACGCGUGGUUCUUGACAGAUAGUUGACGAAGUCUCCCAUGCCUAGCGUUUCCCAUUCCUGGUGAAUAUAAAUAGCAGUUCUACGCACAGAUAAGUCAAAGCCUUUCUCCCUCAGAAGCUCUGGACUGUGUUCUGUGACUUUCCACACAGGGUCUGCAGGAUGCCAGGCAGCCUGAACUUAUAGACAAUAUGACCCAAGACGGUCUUUCUUCUCGGGGGCAAAGAGGCUUGUGGCCUGGAAACUAUCCAUGGGCCAAAAUGGUGACUCUGACAGUGAGGACUUCAGGCCCUGGCAGAGCUGUCAUGGGAGGAACAAAACCAGGACAAGAACAGGAUUUGGAUCCAGAUACUGACACACACAAAGAUGGAAGCUGAAGCAAUCACAGAAGGCCAACUUUGAUGUAACAGUAGACCCAUUAGGGGCCAUUCUUCUCCAGAUCUUAGCGAAUUCUGAGCCCACACAGUGUUACAAUAAUAAAAAAAAAAUUAUCAUCUUCUUUCAUUUAUGGGAGCAGAGCUGAAGAUCUCCCAGUUUUGUAAAAUAUACCCUAGAGGGGCCUAUAAGGUGGACCAGGGCCCUGCUCAUCCAUACUUACUCACCACGGAUGUUCUCAAAUAGCAAGAAAACAGUCAUUCAAAACAGUCUUUCAAGGUCCCAGUUCCCAAGCCCCCAAAAGGGAGAUUCCCAACCUGUCAGUCUGAAAGGGGAAAACUCCAGCCCACACC